GACGAACGCUGGCGGCGUGCUUAACACAUGCAAGUCGAACGGAAAGGCCCUGCUUUUGUGGGGUGCUCGAGUGGCGAACGGGUGAGUAACACGUGAGUAACCUUCCCUUGACUUUGGGAUAACUUCAGGAAACUGGGGCUAAUACCGGAUAGGAGCUCCUGCUGCAUGGUGGGGGUUGGAAAGUUUCGGCGGUUGGGGAUGGACUCGCGGCUUAUCAGCUUGUUGGUGGGGUAGUGGCUUACCAAGGCUUUGACGGGUAGCCGGCCUGAGCGGGUGACCGGCAACAUUGGGACUGAGAUACGCCCAAGACUCCUACGGGAGGCAGCAGUGGGGAAUAUUGCACAAUGGGCGGAAGCCUGAUGCAGCAACGCCGCGUGCGGGAUGACGGCCUUCGGGUUGUAAACCGCUUUCGCCUGUGACGAAGCGUGAGUGACGGUAAUGGGUAAAGAAGCACCGGCUAACUACGUG
RNAcentral lists this ribosomal RNA (468 nucleotides) under uncultured bacterium. RNAcentral describes it as "partial 16S ribosomal RNA". It matches the Rfam family "Bacterial small subunit ribosomal RNA", at positions 28 to 507 of the family's 1533-position model. The record is from RNAcentral.